Molecule: ribosomal RNA, 421 nt
Filed under: uncultured Endozoicomonas sp.
Lineage: Bacteria; Pseudomonadati; Pseudomonadota; Gammaproteobacteria; Oceanospirillales; Endozoicomonadaceae
Description: bacterial SSU rRNA
Rfam family: Bacterial small subunit ribosomal RNA
Source: RNAcentral
AUUGAACGCUGGCGGCAGGCCUAACACAUGCAAGUCGAGCGGUAACAGGGAUAGCUUGCUAUCUGCUGACGAGCGGCGGACGGGUGCGUAACACGUAGGAAUCUGCCCGGUAGUGGGGGAUAGCCCGGAGAAAUCCGGAUUAAUACCGCAUACGCACUAGCUUUCUUAGGAGAGCGGUGGAAAGCAGGGGAAUCUUCGGAUCCUUGCGCUAUCGGAUGAGCCUGCGUCGGAUUAGCUUGUUGGUGAGGUAAAGGCUCACCAAGGCGACGAUCCGUAGCUGGUCUGAGAGGAUGAUCAGCCACACUGGGACUGAGACACGGCCCAGACUCCUACGGGAGGCAGCAGUGGGGAAUAUUGCACAAUGGGCGCAAGCCUGAUGCAGCCAUGCCGCGUGUGUGAAGAAGGCUCUAGGGUUGUAAAG